AGCAAUUGGAAAAGUUUGCCAAGCCAUUCGAGGUUUUGGCCUCAGCGAUUAUAGCAAUUCCUAUUGAUUUUCCAGGGACACCCUUCAACCGCGGGAUCAGAGCAUCAAAUUUGGUGAGAAAGGAGCUGGCAAAGAUUAUCAAGCAAAGGAAGAUUGAUCUAGCGGAGAACAAGGCAUCUCCAACACAAGAUAUACUGUCUCACAUGCUAACCACGGCAGACGAGAACGGGCAGUACAUGAAUGAAA
Molecule: unclassified non-coding RNA, 246 nt
Filed under: Hevea brasiliensis (rubber tree)
Lineage: Eukaryota; Viridiplantae; Streptophyta; Magnoliopsida; Malpighiales; Euphorbiaceae
Source: RNAcentral